This 253-nucleotide ribosomal RNA is filed under the name uncultured bacterium. Its description in RNAcentral is "partial 16S ribosomal RNA". It matches the Rfam family "Bacterial small subunit ribosomal RNA", at positions 524 to 776 of the family's 1533-position model. The record is from RNAcentral.
UACGAAGGGGGCUAGCGUUACUCGGAUUGACUGGGCGUAAAGGGCGCGUAGACGGUUCGUACAGUCAGACGUGAAAUUCCUAAACUCAACCUGAAAACUGCGUUUGAUACGUGCGGACUUGAGUUCGGAAGAGGGUCGUGGAAUUCCCAAUGUAGAGGUGAAAUUCGUAGAUAUUGGGAAGAACACCGGUGGCGAAGGCGGCGACCUGGUCCGAUACUGACGUUGAGGCGCGAAAGCGUGGGGAGCAAACAGG